UACGGGGGGGGCAAGCGUUGUUCGGAAUUACUGGGCGUAAAGGGUGCGUAGGCGGCUUUCUAAGUCGGAUGUGAAAACUCUGGGCUCAACCCAGAGCCUGCAUCUGAAACUGGGGAGCUAGGGUUUUGGAGGGGAAAGCGGAAUUCCAGGUGUAGCGGUGAAAUGCGUAGAUAUCUGGAGGAACACCGGUGGCGAAGGCGGCUUUCUGGACAAAUACCGACGCUGAGGCACGAAAGCUAGGGGAGCAAACAGG
Molecule: ribosomal RNA, 253 nt
Filed under: uncultured bacterium
Lineage: Bacteria
Description: partial 16S ribosomal RNA
Rfam family: Bacterial small subunit ribosomal RNA
Source: RNAcentral